UUGGACGAAGAUAACAGGAAGCUUCUCCCUCGUGGUUGUCACCGUGCAAUUCGUAAGCGGGUUUUAGAGUACAUGCGUUAUUCUGUAGUUUUGAUCAGUGUUCAAUUGAACUUUAUAAUUUUAUUUUUGUUAUUACUUAUACUCAGUUACUGUACCAUAUAGUUCCUUAGUAGGUCUCAGAGUAGAUUAUAGUUAAUUUUGGUAAUAAAGUCCCCAAGUGGGUUUCAGAGUAGAUUAUAUUUAAUUUUGGCAAUAAAGUCCCCAAGCAGGCUUCAGAGUAUAUUUAAUUUUGAUCAGUGUUGAAGUGAAUUUGGUUAUUUUACUUUUAGUAUUAUUGAUAAGUAUGUACAAUUUUAUAUUAAGUUACUGUACCAUACAGUUUCUUGGUAGGUUUCAGAGUGCAUUGCCAUAUUAAAUUUUGGUCACUAAGUGAAUUUGUUCAUUUUAUUUUUUUUAUUAUUGAUGAUUAUGUACACAUAUAUAUCUAAUUACUGUACCUUUAAGUGCGAAUAUAAUUGUAAAUAAUAUCCUCGCAAAAUAUGUGUUUUGAUAUGAUACCUCGGAGUAAAUAUAUUGAAGGUUUAUAUUUGUAAACCAACUUUAUUGUGUUAUCUCCAAAGAAGGGAAUUAAAAGUUGUGUGUGUCUCAGCGAGAUAAUUACCAGUACACAACACCAUGUAGAGGAUGAGAGGUAAAAAAAAAAAAGUGCAAGAUGCAAGUGCGUGAGGAUGUGAUGUGAACGCCGCGUGAGGGAAACCGAGUGAGAAGCCAGGGGGCGGAGGCGUCUUUUAACCAGUGUGCGCGUGACAGGCGGAGGAGACGUGUCGCAGCGGCUCACGGGAAGGCUUCUAUGGGUGACUGUGCCGGAAAAUAAUGGUAUUGUGGAGUGUGAUUAGUGAAACUGUGACUUUAAACUACUAGAGAUCAUACAUAUCAGGACGACUUUAUUGAAUUCAGGGAUUCAAGUGAAUACCGGCAGUAUUCUUGAAAGUGUAAAGAACGAAAAGUUAAGAAGUGUCUCCUUGUACCAUCAGUUGAAAAGCAGGUGGUGGUGAGGUGCUGGGCACUUCUGGUUGGGGCGCUGCGCGAGGACUGCGUGAGCCAAGUGGUCGGGGCCACGCCCUGAGGGCAUGCCCGGAUGGGCUAAACCCUCGCCGUGCCCCCGAUGUGACCCCAGAGCCUAGCUCAUGUGACCCGUGGAGUUGUAUGACCCCGCUGUUGUGGUGGCCUAGAUUAGUCAGUUAGUCGGUCAGUGCCUUCACUACAACCGCCACCACCACCAUCACCAUCAGCGACAACAACAAUAACACAAUAACAACAACAACAACAACUACAAUACCAACAACAGUUACUGUUAUUACUACUACUAUUGCCAGUAUAGCAAGAAUAAUAACAAAACAACGACAUUGCUACUACAACGAUCAUCAGCCUUGACCACACUACACAGGAGGAAGGCCAGUCCCUCUCACAUGAAAAAUGGAAACGCCCUUGAAGACCCAAAUAAUUUCUCCCAGUAUGUUUGAGGUGUUCGACAUAAGACGCCGAAACGCUGAAGAAUUAUUGCGUUCUCGUACUCUGUUCACUGCAGGGUGGCGGGAGGCUAAGGGAAGAACCACGCGUAACGACCGCUUCCCUGCCUAUCUGGAUUGCCUGGUUGGGUCACUUUGUUUCAUCUGGGGCCCCAUUUCACCCGUUUACUAAUUUUAUCCGAUCUGAACUUACAACUUCGGCUGCAUAUUACACACAGAGGUUUUCACAAAUGUAUUAUGUGAGAUGUGGGUGUGUGGAGUGGCUGUGGGUGUGUUGUGGGCGUACUUACGUGUACAUACCUGGUAACCAUAUGGUGGUGAACAGGUGACCACAAUGUGAACUACUGCCACGUACUACUACUGCUGUUGCUACUACUACUACUACUACUACUACUACUACUACUACUACUACUACAAAACAAGAACAAAACAACAACAACAACAACAACAACUACUACUACUACUACUACUACUACUACUACUACUACUACUACUACUACUACUAUUACAAAGCAAGAACAAAACAGCAAGAACAAGAACAACAACAACAAGUACAACAACAACUACUACUACUACUACUACUACUACUACUACUACUACUACUACUACUACUACUACUACAAAACAAGAACAAAACAGCAAGAACAACAACAACAACAACAACUACAACAACAACAACUACUACUACUACUACUACUACUACUACUACUACUACUACUACUACUACUACUACUAC
Molecule: long non-coding RNA, 2265 nt
Organism: Scylla paramamosain (green mud crab)
Lineage: Eukaryota; Metazoa; Arthropoda; Malacostraca; Decapoda; Portunidae
Exons: 3
Source: RefSeq, a predicted model, not a curated record